CGGUUUGUCGCGUCUGCUGUGAAAUCCCGAGGCUCAACCUCGGGCCUGCAGUGGGUACGGGCAGACUAGAGUGCGGUAGGGGAGAUUGGAAUUCCUGGUGUAGCGGUGGAAUGCGCAGAUAUCAGGAGGAACACCGAUGGCGAAGGCAGAUCUCUGGGCCGUAACUGACGCUGAGGAGCGAAAGGGUGGGGAGCAAACAGGCUUAGAUACCCUGGUAGUCCACCCCGUAAACGUUGGGAACUAGUUGUGGGGUCCAUUCCACGGAUUCCGUGACGCAGCUAACGCAUUAAGUUCCCCGCCUGGGGAGUACGGCCGCAAGGCUAAAACUCAAAGGAAUUGACGGGGACCCGCACAAAGCGGCGGAGCCAUGCGGAUUAAUUCGAUGCAACGCGAAGAACCUUACCAAGGCUUGACAUAUACGAGAACGGGCCAGAAAUGGUCAACUCUUUGGACACUCGUAAACAGGUGGUGCAUGGUUGUCAUCAGCUCGUGUCGUGAGAUGUUGGGUUAAGUCCCGCAACGAGCGCAACCCUCGUUCUAUGUUGCCAGCACGUAAUGGUGGGAACUCAUGGGAUACUGCAGGGGUCAACUCGGAGGAAGGUGGGGAUGACGUCAAAUCAUCAUGCCCCUUAUGUCUUGGGCUUCACGCAUGCUACAAUGGCCGGUACAAAGGGCUGCAAUACCGUGAGGUGGAGCGAAUCCCAAAAAGCCGGUCCCAGUUCGGAUUGAGG
RNAcentral lists this ribosomal RNA (731 nucleotides) under uncultured bacterium. Its description in RNAcentral is "bacterial SSU rRNA". It matches the Rfam family "Bacterial small subunit ribosomal RNA", at positions 576 to 1303 of the family's 1533-position model. The record is from RNAcentral.